UACAGUCGCAGUCUUGUGAUCCCGUAGGAUACACAUUUCAGUCUAACGCCCCGAAGGACGUACAUAUCAGUCUAACGCCCGAGGGACGUGCAUAUCAGUCUAACGCCCGAGGGACGUACAUAUCAGUCUAGUGUUCUGCAGAAACACAUAUCAGUCAAAUGCUCCUGAAGGUGCAAAAUAAAUUGGUGAUCCGUGGGACACCUACAAGGUAAACAUCCCAAUACAAUCUAACAAUUUAUCCCCUCAUUCCAUUCAAUCCAUCUUUCAGUUACUUCAAAACAUAAAGUUCUUUCUCUCAACGUCCUAACAGUCAACUUAUCUCACUUUAGUCAUAUGUCUGUCAAUAAUAUACUAAUAUGUCAGUCAAUCAACUAUACAGUCAAUACACCCCUCAGUUCACCAGCACAAACCACAGUUCAGUAUAAUCCACAUCCAACCGAAAUAAAUUCACUAGUUUACAUCCAAAUCUUUAUACAACACAAUCUAUUAAUAUCAUCAUGUACACAUAAGCAUAAUUUCAGUCAUUCACAUGUAUACUUUCGGCAAUCCACAUCAAUUCACACAUCAAUGUAUAUAUAUAUGUUUCCAGUCAAAUACAACAUACACUAAACAUUUAGUCUGCAACCAAACAUGUACAUCUUAAUCAUCAUCCAUACAGUCCAACACAACUCAAAAACUUUAGGUGAGUCCAGUAGAAAGUCCCUUACCUCAAAGUUGGGGAAGCUUCUUAAUCAACUAACGUCCUCGAAACAAUCCUAAGCACAACAACACAAAACUUCAAUUACUUUCACGAUACAUAUCUCACUUACUUUCCUCAACGUAAGUUCCAACUCACCGAAAUAUUGGCGAACUGAACCCUCAACAAUUCACAAACUGAUUGUGAAUGUAAGGGAGUCUAACGAUACUCCCAACACCUCAACGCACGAAUGUCGAACUCGCAGCAAAAAUCCUAAAUGUGGGUCGGUUAGCGGUCGCGCGACAGUGCUGAAAACAGAGGAGAAAGGAAAGGAAUGGAUGGCGGCUGGCUUGGCUUCGACGGAGACAGGUGUUGCGCGGCGGAACUGGGCAGAGGUCACGCGGCGGCCGACGGUUACAACGGCAGUUGUGGAUCCGAGAAGAGAAGAAAACGACCGGAAAGAAAAAUAGGGGCGGCGGCGGCGGUUGCUGGGCUGCGACGCAGAUCUGGACCGGGCAGCGGCGGAAGAGCAACGGCGCGGUCCUGCUUUGCGAACGGAAAUGGAGACGGCAGAUCGGGCGUUCGGCUUCAGUAGGGAGACGCGACGGUGAGGCUGGGUCUGGAAGGAGCGGAGAGGAGAAGAAAAGAUGGAGAUGACCGGCGGCGGUUGCUGCGCUGCGAACGGGAGAAGGGGAAGGGCGCACGGGAGGAGAAGAGAAGAGAAAAGAAAAAAAGAAAAAGAAAAGAAAAAAAAGAAAAAAAAUAAUAUAUAUACCUUUCCUUCUUUUCUCUUUUUUCUUCGCUCUCUUCUUGGGGCAUUACAAUAUUGCUUAGAGAUAUAUACAAUCAGACAUAUAUAGUGACAUACAAUAAUCGAAAAUAUUUUUCAAUUCAAUCUGUUCUUUAUUUUUUUGUUUAUCUUAUAGUAAUAUUAUGUUGUUAGUCAUAUAAACAUUUAUAUCUUAAGUAUGUUGUAACAACAUUAGUAAACUAUAUAUUAUUAAUAAUUAAUAUUUAAAAUAUAUAUUUAUAUGUAAAUACUACUAAAACAGUAAAAACACAUUCUUAGUGUAUAUAUAAUAUGUAGUGAGAAUAUCAUACAUACAUAUUCUCACUUCGUAUAAUUAUAUACCUUCUAUUUGUCAUAUAUUUUUUAAAUGAACAAUAUAUACUAUAAUAUACUCGUAAAUUAUAAUAUGUUAUGAUGUGAUUUAAUAUAUAAAUACACCUUAUUUACAACAUAAAUAUUUAGUGACAUAUAGUUCUACAUAAUUUUAUAGUUGAAUUUCAAUAUAUAUCACUACAUAGACAGGUUGAUGUUAUCAAUAUACAUUUAUAUAAAUAUAAUAACACGUAUUUGUGACACAUAUAUAGUUCAGUUUUUUUCCUCACGUUUUGUAUCAUUUUCUUUAUAUUUUUCUAUAUUCGAUUAGUAUUUUAUUUGAUUUGUUACAUACAUACUAAUGCAUAUAUUCAAUAAUACAGUAGUUGAAGUUGACAUCAUCCCAUUGAAUGUCAAACGUUCAGUUGGUCAACAAAAAAUAUUAGAAUUCAUUCUAAAAUGAAGUUUUAAAUGUGGUUGUCAUAAACGAAAGAGAUGCAAGCUUCCUUAUUGAACUAAUUUUUCUUUCUUAUAUUAAACUUUUAGUAUGUUGAUUUAUACUUUAUUUGAAAUAUUCAUAUUUCAGUUUUUAAUUUAGUUAUUUUAUUUCUAUAUUUUUCAUAAAUUUUCAUCUACGGUACCAUACAAUUUUUUUCAAUUUAUUAUAUUUAAUAUACUAUUCAUUCAUACAUAACCACUCUUGUUUCAAUCACGAGUUAUUAUUUAUUAUGUAUAGAAUUUUUUAAAAAAUAAUGUAAAUUUUGAAACAUAUGUCAAAAGUAGGUGAAUGCAAAACUAUUGACAAAAAUAGGUGAGUUGAGGUGAAGUUUUGUACCCCUACACAAUUUUCAUGCAGUGGACCCUACAUAGUUUAUUUUUUACUUUAUAUAUAUAUUACAUUGGGCCAACAUUUUUUAUUUUCUCAUUAUUUAUAUACGUGGGUCCCACACACUCUACUUUUUUCAUUAGGUGUGUAUAUAUAAUAAUGACGUAUAUACUAGUACAUGAUACAUAUAUCUUAUGUGAUUUGUUACAUAUAUAUACUACUUCAUAUUUUCAAUAGUACAUAAAUGAUGUCAUCUUUGAUGUACUCAAUAUAUCAUAGUAUAUUUCAAAUACAAAAUAUAAAAUUCUUACUAACCUUAAAUGAACAAUAUAUAUUAUGAUAUAUCCUUAUACUGCUGUUUCAAACAUAACUUAUUAUUAUUAUUACAUAUAAAAUAAAUAUUUGAAAUAAAAUAAAUAAACCAGUUUAACAAAUUGAUUGCAUAACAUUUCAUUCAUAAAAAUAUAUAAUGUAUUGUUUCAUAUACACUAUUCAUAAGUCAAUUUAACAUUCAACCAUUUUUUUUCAUACAAUUUCCUGAAUCUUCAAUUCUUUCAUCAAAGUCCUACAUUACAAACAUAUUCAGUUGAUCUCAACAUUACAUAUUAGUGGUGUUCGCGUUCGGUUUGAAGCUAAAACCGCAUCGAACGCAAAAUGAUAAAAAAAAUCUUCAUUGAAACCGAACCGAACCGCUCAUCUAUGCCAAACCGAAUGAAACCGAACCACAUAUACAUAAAUAAAAUCAAAUCAAAACCGAACGGCUUAUACAAAGUUAUAAACAUAGAAAUUUCAAAUUACAGACAUAGAUGUUUCAAACAUUGAAAUUUGAAAGUCCAACAACACAUAGAAGUUUUAAAAUCCCCCUAAGAUGAAUAAAAGUCCUACAGUCAUGCAAACUUCGUCAAGACAACUUGUCAUUUACGUUUUGAUUAUGUCAUUCUUCUCCUUUUCGUUCCUCUCAUUGAUUUUUGCCUCUAUACCCGCUUUGAAGUCUAAAAAAGUCUUAUUAUUAACACACACAUAUAUAUAUAUAUAUAUAUAUAUAUAUUUAGUUUUUAAAAUAAAGCAAUUCAGUUCGGUUUGAGAAUCGGUUCUUAACAUCUUAAACUGAACCGAACCGAAUUUUAUGUGGUUUUUUUGAAAUAGAAAUCGAAUCGAACCGAACCAUAUGCAUUCGAUUUCGGUUCGAUUAGUGAUUCGAUUCAGUUUUCAACUUCAUUUUGAACACCCCUAUUACAUUACUAGAGAAUAACAAAUUUUUAAUGACAUAUAUUACAUAUACUCAUCAUAAUUAUUUCUCAUUCAUGUUCUUGUAAACAUAAACAACUUUCAUGUAUAAUUAAUAUUAUUUCAAACAUAAUGUAUUAUUUACUAUGUAAGAUAUGAAUAUUUAAAUAAAAUAAAUAAAUAAAUUGAUAUAAGAACAUUUCACUAAUAAAAUAUACAUUAUAUUAUUCAAUAUAUACUAUAAUUAUAUAAAAUAUAUGAAAAAGAAUGCAGAAUAAAAAAGGACAAUUUUUUAAUAAAAUCAUAAAAAGCAAACUAAGGACAAUUUUUAUUAUUAAUAUGUAACGACCCAACUUUUCUAAGUAAGUCGAGGUCGUUAUUAUUUUUACAAAUAAAAGACUUUGAUUAAUAUAAAAAAAACGUAAGCAAUUUAAAAAAAAACAUCUUCAAGUCAGGCCUGAUUUUUAAACAUUCAAGAAAACAUAAAAUAAUACUAUUUACAACAAACGUUUGUAAACUAAAUUUCAAUUCAUUUUAAACCUCACAAGAACCCAUAAGUGGAAGCAAAAACACGUUUCCUAUGCAUCACGCUUCCUUCCUGCCCUCGCCUGUUUGUCGCCUUUAUUACCUUUGCCUGAAAAUUAAACAUAUAUAAGAAGGGUGGGUAUUUAAAUACUCAGUAAGAGACCCUCUACUGGUUUCGUCAGGGGAAAAUAAAUUGUUAAAGUUCUAUUGGGACACCCUGUACAGUCGCAGUCUUGUGAUCCGUAGGAUACACAUCUCAGUCUAAUGCCCCGAGGGACGUACAUAUCAGUCUAACGCCCCAAGGACAUACAUAUCUAGUCUAGUGUUCUGCAGAAACACAUAUCAGUCAAAUGCUCCGAAGGUGCACAAUAAAUUGGUGAUCCCGUGGGACACCUACAAGGUAAACAUCCCAAUACAAUCUAACAAUUUAUCCCCUCAUUCCAUUCAACCCAUCUUUCAGUUACUUCAAGUCACAAAGUUCUUUCUUUCAACAUCCUAACAGUCAACUUAUUUUACUACAGUCAUAUGUCUGUCAAUAAUAUGCUAAUACCGGCGAGGCUGUUCGUGACUAAGGCGUGCGAUUUACCUCGCGAACGGAGAUAAAGACGGCGGCUGGGUUGGCUUCGACGGAGACAGGUGUUGCGCGACAAAACUGGGCAGAGGCGGAAGAGCAAUGGCAGUUACAGGUGGAUGGGCGCGGCGGUUCGAUCCGAAGGAGAAAGAAAACGACCGGAAAGAAAAUAAGGGCGGCGGUUUCUGGGCUACGACGCAGAUCUGGAUCAGACAGUUACGCCGCGGCUGCUGCAAGGCUGCUUCGCGAACGGAGAUGGAGAACGGAGAAGAUGGAUGGGGUCGGGUCGCAAGAAGAUGGGAGAAAAGAAAAGAAAAAGAAAAAGAAGAAAAGAAGAAAAAAAAAUAAAGAAAUUUUUUAAUAUUAAAAUAAAAAUAAUAUAUAUAUAUAUAUAUAAAAAUAUAUAUAUAUAUUUACCUUUUGGGCAUUACAUUCUUCCCUCCUUAAGAAACUUUCGUCCUCGAAAGUUUAAUCCUGAAAUAACUCUGGAUAACGAGUCCUCAUUCUUCCUCUCGCUCCCAUGUCGCCUCUUCAAUUCGAUGAUUCCGCCACAAAACCUUUACUAAUGGAAUGCUUCUAUUACGAAGCAUCUUUACCUCUCUAGCCAGAAUCUCCACAGGUUGUUCUACAUAGCUCAAAUGCUCAUCAAUCUCCAAGGGUUCAUAGUCCACUACAUGAGAUGUAUCGGCCACAUACUUCCUCAACAUCGAACAUGGAAAACAUUAUGAACUGCAGAGAGUGAUGGUGGUAAUGCCAAGCGAUACGCCACAACACCAACCCUCUCUAAGAUCUCAAAUGGUCCAACAAAACGAGGACUUAACUUCCCUUUCUUCUCAAAACGCAUAACACCCUUCAUAGGUGCUACCUUCAAGAAUACCUUUUCUCCCACAUCGAACUUAAGGUCUUUUCGCCGUACAUCUGCAUAACUCUUUGUCUACUCUGCGCUGUUUGCAUACGCGUCUAAUCUUUGAAUAGCCUCAUUAGUAGACCGAACUAAUUCAGGUCCCAUCAACCUAUGUUCACCAACCUCACUCCAACAAACAGGGGUUCUACAACAUUUGCAUACAAAGCCUCAAAUGGUGCCAUACCGAUGGUAGCCUGGAAACUGUUGUUAUAAGCAAACUCCAUCAAAUGUAGAUGAGAGUCCCAACUACCUGGAAACUCUAUAACACAAGCUCGUAGCAUAUCCUCUAAAACUUGGUUCAAACGUUCAGUUUGACCAUCAGUCUGUGGAUGAAAGGCUGUACUGAAAUCCAAUCUCGUACCCAUAGCAGUCUGAAGUCCCUUCCAAAACUUGGAAGUAAACCGUGCAUCCCUAUCAGAAACAAUCGAUACAGGCACUCCAUGCAGUCUCACAAUCUCAGUUAAAUACAACUCUGCCCACUUACUAGCAGUAUAAGUGGAUUUUCCUGGUACAAAAUGUGCCGAUUUCGUAAGCCUGUCUAUGACAACCAAAAUCACUGUGAAACCCUUCAGGGUCUUAGGCAGCCCUGAAAUAAAAUCCAUCGACACAUUCUCCCACUUCCACUCUGGCACACUUAAGGUUGUAACAAACCUGCUGGUUUCUGUCUAGGUGCCUUAACUUGCUGACAUACUAGACACUUACUAACAAAUUCCGCCACUUCCCUUUUCAUAUUCCGCCACCAAUAAAAUCGUUUUAGAUCCUGAUACAUUUUCGUGCUACCAGGAUGCAUGGAAAAUGGGAAUUAUGGGCUUCAUCUAGUAAGUCAAUCUUAACUGUACUGUUCGCUGGCACACAUAAACGUCUCUCAAACAUCAACCCACCAUCAGAGGAUAUGGAGAACUCAUCAGUCUGCCCUGUUUCAACAAGGCGACGUCUCUCCAUCAAAUAAGGAUCAUUACUCUGAGCAUCAACAAUCUUCUGCCUCAGAGUCGGUUGCACCGUUAAUUGAGCUAGCUGUGAGGUGACUCUCCCCACAGACACUGCAAUCUCAGCUCUCUCCAAGUCUCGAUGCAAUGGUACCUGUCUAGUAAUGAGUGCUGCCGAAUGUGAUACUUUUCUACUAAGAGCAUCAGCCACCACAUUCGCCUUACCAGGAUGGUACAAUAUCUCACAGUCAUAAUCUUUUACCAACUCGAGCCACCUUCGCUGUCUCAUAUUCAACUCCUUCUGAGUGAAGAAGUACUUUAGGCUCUUAUGGUCAGUAAAGAUUUGUAUCUUUUCACCGUACAAGUAAUGUCUCCAUAUCUUCAAUGCAAAAACCACUGCUGCCAACUCCAAAUCAUGUGUGGGGUAGUUCUGCUCGUGACUCUUCAACUGACGAGAGGCAUAAGCAACCACCUUACCUUUCUGCAUCAAAACACAACCCAGUCCUUUCUUGGAAGCAUCACUGUAAAUCACAAAACUUCCAGAUCCAUCUGGUACAGUAAGGACCGGUGCAGUAACUAACCUUUGCUUAAGGUUCUGAAAACUAUCCUCACAAGCUGGACUCCAAACAAACGGAGUUCCCUUCCUUGUCAACUGAGUCAAGGAGUAGCCAAACGUGAAAAAUCCUCCACAAACCUCCGGUAGUACCCUGCUAAACCCAGAAAACUACGAACCUCACUAACUGUAGAGGGUCGAGACCAACUGGUAACCGCUUCUAUCUUUGCAGGGUCUACUGAAACUCCCUCACUGGAAACCACAUGACCAAGAAAAGCCACCUGCUUCAACCAAAAUUCGCACUUAGAGAACUUAGCAUACAGUUUAUUGACUCGAAGAGUCUCUAACACCUUAUGUAAGUGUUCCUCAUGUUCGGCUUCAGUCUUGGAAUAAACCAAAAUAUCAUCAAUGAAGACUAUCACAAAAGUGUCCAAGAAAUCCUUAAACACCCUGUUCAUCAAAUCCAUAAAUACAGCAGGUGCAUUAGUCAAACCAAAAGACAUUACUAUGAAUUCAUAAUGUCCAUACCUCGAACGAAAAGCAGUCUUAGGAAUAUCACGGUCUCUAAUCCUCAACUGGUGAUAACCUGACCGUAAGUCAAUCUUAGAGAACACCGUGGCUCCCUGUAACUGAUCGAACAAAUCAUCGAUUCUGGGUAAAGGAUAUCUGUUCUUGACUGUUACUUUAUUCAACUCUCUAUAGUCAAUGCAAAGACGCAUCGACCCAUCCUUCUUCUUCACAAACAAUACUGGUGCACCCCAAGGUGACACACUAGGUCGAAUAAAGCCUUUGUCAAGCAAUUCCUGUAACUGUACCUUCAGUUCUUUCAACUCAGCAGGAGCCAUCCUAUAAGGGGCUCUAGAAAUAGGAGUAGUGUUUGGCUCCAACUCAAUGGCAAAAUCAACCUCUCUAUGUGGCGGUAGUCCUGGAAGAUCUUUUGGAAAUACAUCUGGGUAUUCUCUUACCACAGGUUCUGAAGUUAAAGAAGUCUCACCUUCCCUAGUAUCCACCACACUUGCCAAAAUACUCCAAGUACCCUGGUUGAGUAGUUUACUAGCUUUCAUAGCUGAGAUUACUUUAGGCAGUACUACUGUUCCUACCCCUUGAAUUUAAAGCUAGAUGCAGUAGGGGGACUGAACACAACUUCCUUACGAGAACAAUCAAUACUAGCAUGAUUAGUAGCUAGCCAAUCCAUACCUAAAUUACAUCAAAGUCACGCAUAUCUAAUACCAACAAGGUUACGUCCAGCACACGACCAGCUAUCUCAAUUUCACAUGCUUUAAUCUUUUCCUUAGACAACAUAAUUUCUCCAGACGGUGUAGACACUGACAAAACAUAGUCUAAGGGUUCCACCUCUAAGCAUGCAUGCGUCACAAAAAGCGAUGAAAUAAAUGAAUGAGAAGAUCCCGAGUCAAACAAGGUCAAGGCAAAAUGCCCUAACACUGGUAAUGUACCUGUCACUACUGUGCCGGCCUUCUCUGCCUCUGAUCUAUUAGUGGCAAAGAUUGUACCCCGCUGUGGAGGUCUCUCUCCCUGACUGCUCGAUCCAGCCCCAGUAGAUCUCAAGGGACACCUAUCAGCCAUGUGUCCCUCUUGCUUGCACUUAUAACAGACUCUCGUUCCCAUCAAACAACGACCCAGGUGGCGUUUCCCACACGUAUUACAUACUGGCCUCUCUGAGUAGUGUCUCCUGCACCGCCAGAACUCUGCUGGAAACUGCGAAAAGGAAUCGCCUGGUCUCAAGUUCCUCUGAGGAACUCCUACAGUUCUCUGCUCUACUUUUCUCUUUUGACCCGACGACGAUCCCUUAUAAAGCUCCUUGGCUGUAUUUCAUCCUUCCCAACUCAUAUCCACUGCCAGACGCAGUGCUUCAGCUUGGGUAGUGGGCUUUAGUGCUCGCACAAACCCCUAAUUUCAUCUCUCAAUCCCUUGACGAACCUAUCAGCUCUAGCCUGCUCAUUACUAACAAGCUCAGGGGCAAAACGUGACAGCAUAUCAAACUCCUGGUCGUACUCCUCGACUGUCAUAUAUCCUUGCUUCAACUCCAAGAAUUCCUGGCUUUUGGCGUCUCUAAGGUUAGCCGAGAAAAACUUGGUAUAGAAGCAGUCCUUAAACUGAUCCCAGGUAAUUUGCCUCACAUCUCCACCUAGCAUGCGCAUUGUAGUCCUCCACCAGAUAAUGCCUCUGUCCCUCAGUAGAAAAGCAGCACACUGAACUCUGUGCUCCUCGACAUCUCAUGUAAUUAAAUAUGGUUUCCACAGAGGACAACCACAUUUCAGCUUUAGUAGGAUCCUCCAGUGACCCAUCAAACGUCUGAGGGUCAUACUUCCGAAAGUCCCUCAAAUGUUUCGCCUCAGCAGAAAGUUGGUUGGUAAUUCUUGUGCAGGAGGGGCUGCUGGUGCGGGAACUACAGGUGCAGUGGAACCGCAGGUGCCUGCUGGUUUUGAGCUAUAGCUGUCAUAAGUUCUGUAAACCUCUGCUCCAUGUGAGCAGACAGUGCAUCAAACUCAACGUGAGUCACGGGUGCAGCAGGAAUUCGCUGUUCAGCUUGACCCUCAGUAGGCUGAUUACGACCUGCUCCUCUACCUCGGCCUCCUACUCCUCUACCUCGGCCUCUACGACCUCCUCUACGUACCUUCCCUUGGCGGCAUAAUUCCUAUUAUCCACCAACAACACUCUUUAACAAAAUCUUAAUCAUAACAUAAGCAAGUCUUUAUCGUCAUGCAAUCUAGUUUAAUUUAGGCAAGGUCAUGCAAAUAAACCAUACAUAUAAGCAUCAAGCAUACCUGACGAGAGACGAAGGGUCGCGUUAGCCAUAGGAAACAAAAACAUAGACUUACAUCGUAAGUCAGUCUACAGAACCUAAAACUUAGGCUCUGAUACCAACUGUAACGACCCAACUUUUCUAAGUAAGUCGAGGUCGUUAUUAGUUUUUUACAAAUAAAAGACUUUGAUUAAUAUAAAACAAAACGUAAGCAAUUUAAAAAAAACAUCUUCAAGUCAGGCCUGAUUUUUAAACAUUCAAGAAAACAUAAAAUAAUACUAUUUACAACAAACGUUUGUAAACUAAAUUUCAAUUCAUUUUAAACCUCACAAGAACAUAAGGGAAGCAAAAACACGUUUCCUAUGGCAUCACGCUUCCUUCCUCCCCUCGCCUGUUUGCCGCCUUUAUUACCUUUGCCUGAAAAUUAAACAUAAGAAGGGUGAGUAUUUAAAUACUCAGUAAGAGACCCUCUACUGGUCUCGUCAGGGGAAAAUAAAUUGUUAAAGUUCUAUUGGGACACCCUGUACAGUCGCAGUCUUGUGAUCCCGUAGGAUACACAUCUCAGUCUAACGCCGAGGGACGUACAUAUCAGUCUAGUGUUCUGUAGAAACACAUAUCAGUCAAAUGCUCCCGAAGGUGCACAAUAAAUUGGUGAUCCCGUGGGACACCUACCAGGUAAACAUCCCAAUACAAUCUAACAAUUUUCCCCUCAUUCUAUUCAACCCAUCUUUCAGUUACUUCAAGUCACAAAGUUCUUUCUUUCAACAUCCUAACAGUCAACUUAUUUUACUACAGUCAUAUGUCUGUCAAUAAUAUGCUAAUACAUCAGUCAAUCCACUAUACAGUCAAUGCACCCCUUAGUUCACCAGCACACAGUCAUACUUUAGCGUAAUCAUACACCCAAUCUAAACGAGAAUCUCAUACAAACACAAUCUACAAUCUCCGUCCUGUCCACAUACCCACAUUUAUACAUAGAUUCCAUGACAAUCACGACAUACAUUCAACGUCAAGUCUACUUCAAUUCAUAUAUAUUUUCAGUCAACCCACAGUAUACAUUCAACACACAUACAGUUCACAAUCACAGUUCACAAUCACAAUUGAGUCCAGUAGAAAAUCCUUACCUCGAUUUUAUGUAAAAUUUCUUGGUCGAACUAAUUCCAACAAACAAACCCCAAAGAGUAAAGAAUCGAAUUCCAACAAAGCUUAAGGCGUAACUCAAGGACACUAACUCCAAAUAACCGAUGUCGCCUUCAAGAACAAACAUCAAUUCAACCAAUUAAACAAACAUCACAUCUUAAUGUAUUUACAAAUGUAAAACCUUAUUACCCAACAAUCUCAUCCUUACCAAUAACUUAUAACAAGACUUUGACAAUCGACGUUAAAAUAGAAGUUGCCGCAGCAGGAUCUACACAAAAGAAAUCGUGCAAACAAAUCUGCACGCGAAUCGGUCCACAAUUCGUAAAUGGACAGCGGGUAUCGACGAAGGCAGAAUGGUUCGGACGUUCAACAGCAGUUACGCGCAGACGGGAGUAGCCCGGUAACGUAGCCGAACUCGUGCGAUGCGGCGUGACCUGCGUCGGCGAGGCUGUUUGUGACUGAGGCGUGCGAUUUGCCUCGCGAACGGAGAUAGAGACGGCGGCUGGAUUGGCUUAGACGGAGACAGGUGUUGCGCGGCAAAACUGGGCAGAGGCGGAAGAGCAACGACAGUUACAGGUGGAUGGGCGUGGCGGUUUCGAUCCGAAGGAGAAAGAAAACGACCGGAAAGAAAAUAAGGGCGGCGGUUUCUGGGCUGCGACGCAGAUCUGGAUCAGACAGUUACGCGGCGGCUGCUGCAAGGCUGCUUCGCGAACGGAGAUGGAGAACGGAGUGGAGAAGAUGGAUACGGGUCGCGGUCGCACGGGGAAGAAGAUGGGAGAAAAGAAAAGAAAAAGAAAAGAAGAAAAGAAGAGAAAAAAAAUAAAGAAAUUUUUUAAUAUUAAAAUAAAAGUAAUAUAUAUAUAUAUAUAUAUAUAUUAUAUAUAUAUUAUAUAUAUAUUUACCUUUUCUUUGGGCAUUACAUAAUAUUACUUUAAUAGAAUUUAAUCCAUAUUUUCAUAGAAUAUUUAAUAAAUGAAAAUCUUAAACGUGGUUCACUUUUCUUUUUAUUUUUAAUAUAUUAUUAAUAAUAAAAAGAGUAAAUUGGUCAUUUUUACUCUAUAUUUGUAUAAAAUAUUAGUCAAUUUAUGAUAUUUUUGAAAAUUUUAAAAAAUUUAUUGCAAUUAAUUUGUAACAUGGUAUACAAUUUGAGUACACUUAGAUAAAAAUUCAAAGAAAAAAAAAUAAUUUCACAUUAUAUAAGAUCAAGUCUAAACGGUAUAAAUUGAACCGCUUGUUAAAACCGAAUCAAACCACACCAUUUAUGUACAAACAAAAAACACAGUUUGUUGCUGUCUCAAAUAGUCCAAACCGAAUUUAAAUGGUUCGGUCUAUUUCAGCUUCAGUCUUCUGGAAUUCAAGGAAAUUUUGAUCUUCCAAGUCUUCAAUAUUUCAGAAGACGAUGAUCUCGAAGUUGAUAAAAACUUGCACGUCUUGAGAGCUCUAUAGAAGUUUGAAUCUUCAAUUCUUCAAAGCUUCAGUACUUCAGAGCUUCAUUUCUUCCUUCAACAAAAGAUCUCUCGAAUGAAUGACAAAGGUCUACUUAUAGAGAAAAUUUGUGGACUUUAUGUGGGCUUUGGACCCAUUUUCUUGUUGAGUUGUUGAGCUUGGACUUGGGCUUGGGCCCAUUUUCUUAGUGGGCUUAGGCCCCUUUGUUUGGCCUGAUUUUUUAUCAGGGGCUUGAAUUGGGUUGGAAAACUUGACUACCCAAUCCAAUCAAAUUAUAAUCAUCACAACUUGGGUGCGACGACGUGGUGUAAUUUCAUUGGUUGAAAUUUCUUGCUCAACAAUUACAUUUAUACUACUCCAUAAUACAUAUAUAUUAUGUGAUUUGUUUACAUAUAUACUACCUCAUUAUGUAAUAUUGCUUAGAGAUAUAUACAAUCAGACAUAUAUAGUGACAUACAGUAAUCGAAAAUAUUUUUCAAUUCAAUCUGUUCUUUAUUUUUUUGUUUAUCUUAUAGUAAUAUUAUGUUGUUAGUCAUAUAAACAUUUAUAUCUUAAGUAUGUUGUAACAACAUGUAGUAAACUAUAUAUUCAUUUAUAAUUAAUAUUUUAAAAUAUAUAUUUAUAUAGUAAAUACUACUAAAACAGUAAAAUACACAUUCUUAGUGUAUAUAUAUAUAUGCAGUGAGAAUAUCAUACAUACAUAUUCUCACUUCGUAUAAUUAUAUACCUUCUAUUUGUCAUAUAUUUUUUAAAUGAACAAUAUAUACUAUAAUAUACUCGUAAAUUAUAAUAUGUUUAUGAUGUGAUUUAAUAUAUAGAUACACCUUAUUUACAACAUAAAUAUUUAGUGACAUAUAGUUCUACAUAAUUUAUAGUUGAAUUUCAAUAUAUAUCUGUAACGACCCAACUUUUAUAGGUAAGUCGAGGUCAUUAAUUUUUAACAAAAGACUUUGGUUGAUACAAAAUGAAACGUAAGUCAAUUUAAAAACAAUUUAUGUAAGGCCUGAUUUUCAAAUAUUCAAGAAAACUUAAAAAUAACACUAUUUACAAAUAAAAGUUUGUAAACUAAGUUUUAGUACAUCUUAAACCUCAAAAGAAACCAUAAGCGGAAGCAAAAUGACACAUUUCCUAUGGCAAUCACGCUUCCUUCCUGCCCCUCGCCGGUUUGCCACCUUUAUUUCCUUUGCCUGAAAAUUAAACAUAAGAAGGGUGAGUAUAACAAUACUCAGUAAGAGACCCUCUACUGGUCUCGUCAGGGGAAAAUAAAUUGUUAAAGUUCUAUUGGGACACCCUGUACAGUCGCAGUCUUGUGAUCCCGUAGGAUACACAUCUCAGUCUAACGCCCCGAGGAACGUACAUAUCAGUCUAACGCCCGAGGGACGUACAUAUCAGUCUAGUGUUCUGCAGAAACACAUAUCAGUCAAAUGCUCCCGAAGGUGCAAAAUAAAUUGGUGAUCCGUGGGACACCUACAAGGUAAACAUCCCAAUACAAUCUAACAAUUUAUCCCUCAUUCCAUUCAAUCCAUCUUUCAGUUACUUCAAAACAUAAAGUUCUUUCUCUCAACGUCCUAACAGUCAACUUAACUCACUUUAGUCAUAUGUCUGUCAAUAAUAUACUAAUACGUCAGUCAAUCAAACUAUACAGUCAAUACACCCCUCAGUUCACCAGCACAAACCACAGUUCAGUAUAAUCCACAUCCAACCGAAACAAAUUCACUAGUUCACAUCCAAAUCUUUAUACAACACAAUCUAUUAAUAUCAUCAUGUACACAUAAGCAUAAUUUCAGUCAUUCACAUGUAUACUUUCGGCAAUCCACAUCAAUUCACACAACAAUGUAUAUAUAUAUGUUUCCAGUCAAAUACAACAUACACUAAACAUUUAGUCUGCAACCAAACAUGUACAUCUUAAUCAUCAUCCAUACAGUCCAACACAACUCAAAAACUUUAGGUGAGUCCAGUAGAAAGUCCCUUACCUCAAAGUUGGGGAAGCUCCUUAAUCAACUAACGUCCUCGAAACAAUCCUAAGCACAACAACACAAAAUUCAAUUACUUUCACGAUACAUAUCUCACUUACUUUCCUCAACGUAAGUUCCAACUCACCGAUAUAUUGGCAAACUGAACCCUCAACAAUUCACAAAUUGGUUGUGAAUUUAAGUGAUCCAAAGUUACCUUUCACACCUUCAAGAAUAAUUUAUCAAAUUAGUCAAUUAACCCAUCCGUAACGUUUGAACACCUUGAAAACAUCACAACCCAUACUUAAAUUGUUUUGUAAACGACUACAAUUUCAUAACUUCAAUCUUACCAACAAAACUUCGACAGAGACAGAGACGAUUAGGAUGGGGCACGGCGACGCAGAUCUGGGUAACGGCGCAGAGACAGAGGUCGCGCGGCGGUGCUGGGCAGAGGUCACGCGGCGGCUGACGGUUGCAGCGGCAGUUUUUGGAUCGAAGAGAAAAAAAGGGUGGCGGUUGGGUUCGACUUCGGUGAACGGAGACAGAAACAGACGAAACCGGUGGACGGCUCGAUCUAGCGGUGCAGAUCUGGACAGAGGGUCACACGGCGGUGGGCGGAAGGUCACGCGGCGGCCUUGCUUCGCAACAGAGACGGCGGCCGACGGUUGCAGCGGCGGUUUGGCUUGGCCUGACCGUCGACGUCGAACGAAAGAGGAAGAAAGAAAAGAAGGGGUGGUUGGACUGCGGCUGCGCACGAACGGAAAGAGAAUAGAUGGGGCGGCGGUUGCUGCGAACGGGAAGGAGAACGCACGGGGAGGAAGGAGAAGAGAGAAAAGAAAAGAAAAAGAAAAGAAAAGAAAUAUAUAUAUAUAUAUAUAUAUAAAUUAAAAAAAAUGUAUAUAUAUAUAUAUUUUUUACCUUUGGGACUUUACAUUCUUCCCCCCUUAAGAAACUUUCGUCCUCGAAAGUUCUAAUCCUGAAAUAACUCUGGAUAACGAGUCCUCAUCUCUUCUUCUCGCUCCCAUGUCGCUUCUUCAAUUCGAUGAUUCUGCCACAAAACUUUACUAAUGGAAUGCUUCUAUUACGAAGCAUCUUUACCUCUCUAGCCAGAAUCUCCACAGGUUGUUCUACAUAGCUCAAAUGCUCAUCAAUCUCCAAGGGUUCAUAGUCUACUACAUGAGAUGUAUCCACACAUACUUCCUCAACAUCGAAACAUGGAAAAUAUUAUGAACUGCAGAGAGAGAUGGUGGUAAUGCCAAGCGAUACGCCACAACACCAACCCUCUCUAAGAUCUCAAAUGGUCCAACAAAACGAGGACUUAACUUUCCUUUCUUCUCAAAACGCAUAACACCCUUCAUAGGUGCUACCUUCAAGAAUACCUUUUCUCCCACAUCGAACUUAAGGUCUUUUCGCUGUACAUCCGCAUAACUCUUCUGUCGACUCUGCGCUGUUUGCAUAAGUGCUCUAAUAUUUUGAAUAGCCUCAUUAGUAGACCGAACUAAUUCAGGUCCCAUCAAUCUAUGUUCACCAACCUCACUCCAACAAACAGGGGUUCUACAACAUUUGCCAUACAAAGCCUCAAAUGGUGCCAUACCGAUGGUAGCCUGAAAACUGUUGUUAUAAGCAAACUCCAUCAAAUGUAGAUGAAAGUCCCAACUACCUAGAAACUCUAUAACACAAGCUCGUAGCAUAUCCUCUAAAACUUGGUUCAAACGUUCAGUUUGACCAUCAGUCUGUGGAUGAAAAGCUGUACUGAAAUCCAACCUCGUACCCAUAGCAGUCUGAAGUCCCUUCCAAAACUUGGAAGUAAACCGUGCAUCCCUAUCAGAAACAAUCGAUACAGGCACUCCAUGCAGUCUCACAAUCUCAGUUAAAUACAACUCUGCCCACUUACUAGCAGUAUAAGUGGAUUUCCCUGGUACAAAAUGUGCCGAUUUCGUAAGUCUGUCUAUGACAACCAAAAUCACUGUGAAACCCUUCAGGGUCUUAGGCAGCCCUGAAAUAAAAUCCAUCGACACAUUCUCCCACUUCCACUCUGGCACACUUAAGGGUUGUAACAAACCUGCUGGUUUCUGUCUAGGUGCCUUAACUUGCUGACAUACUAGACACUAACUAACAAAUUCCGCCACUUCCUUUUCAUAUUCCGCCACCAAUAAAAUCGUUUUAGAUCCUGAUACAUUUUCGUGCUACCAGGAUGCAUUGGAAAUGGGGAAUUAUGGGCUUCAUCUAGUAAGUCAAUCUUAACUGUACUGUUCGCUGGCACACACAAACGUCUUUCAAACAUCAACCCACCAUCAGAGGAUAUGGAGAACUCAUCAGUCUGCCCUGUUUCAACAAGGCGACAUCUCUCCAUCAAAUAAGGAUGACUACUCUGAGCAUCAACAAUCUUCUGCCUUAGAGUCGGUUGCACCGUUAAUUGAGCCAACUGUGAGGUGACUCUCCCCACAGACACUGCAAUCUCAGCUCUCUCCAAGUCUCGAUGCAAUGGUACCUGUCUAGUAAUGAGUGCUGCCGAAUGUGAUACUUUUCUACUAAGAGCAUCAGCCACCACAUUCGCCUUACCAGGAUGGUACAAUAUCUCACAGUCAUAAUCUUUUACCAACUCGAGCCACCUUCGUUGUCUCAUAUUCAACUCCUUCUAAGUGAAGAAGUACUUUAGGCUCUUAUGGUCAGUAAAGAUUUGUAUCUUUUCACCGUACAAGUAAUGUCUCCAUAUCUUCAAUGCAAAAACCACUGCUGCCAACUCCAAAUCAUGUAUGGGGUAGUUCUGCUCGUGACUCUUCAACUGACGAGAGGCAUAAGCAACCACCUUACCUUUCUGCAUCAUAACACAACCCAGUCCUUUCUUGGAAGCAUCACUGUAAAUCACAAAACUUCCAGAUCCAUCUGGUACAGUAAGGACCGGUGCAGUAACUAACCUUUGCUUUAAGUUCUGAAAACUGUCCUCGCAAGCUGGACUCCAAACAAACGGAGUUCCCUUCCUUGUCAACUGAGUCAAAGGAGUAGCCAAACAUGAAAAAUCCUCCACAAACCUCCGGUAGUACCCUGCUAAACCCAGAAAACUACGAACCUCACCAACUGUAGAGGGUCGAGACCAACUGGUAACCGCUUCUAUCUUUGCAGGGUCUACUGAAACUCCCUCACUGGAAACCACAUGACCAAGAAAAGUGUCUAAGAAAUCCUUAAACACCCUGUUCAUCAAAUCCAUAAAUACAGCAGGUGCAUUAGUCAAACCAAAAGACAUUACUAUGAAUUCAUAAUGUCCAUACCUCGAACGAAAAGCAGUCUUAGGAAUAUCACGGUCUCUAAUCCUCAACUGGUGAUAACCUGACCAUAAUUCAAUCUUAGAGAACACUGUGGCUCCCUGUAACUGAUCGAACAAAUCAUCGAUUCUGGGUAAAGGAUAUCUGUUCUUGACUGUUACUUUAUUCAACUCUCUAUAGUCAAUGCAAAGACGCAUCGACCCAUCCUUCUUCUUCACAAACAAUACUGGUGCACACCAAGAUGACACACUAGGUCGAAUAAAGCCUUUGUCAAGCAAUUCCUGUAACUGUACCUUCAAUUCUUUCAACUCAGCAGGAGCCAUCCUAUAAGGGGCUCUAGAAAUAGGAGUAGUGUUUGGCUCCAACUCAAUGGCAAAAUCAACCUCUCUAUGUGGCGGUAGUCCUGGAAGAUCUUUUGGAAACACAUCUGGGUAUUCUCUUACCACAGGUUCUGAAGUUAAAGAAGUCUCACCUUCCCUAGUAUCCACCACACUUGCCAAAAUACUCCAAGUACCCUGGUUGAGUAGUUUACUAGCUUUCAUAGCUGAGAUUACUUUAGGCAGUACUACUGUUCCUACCCCCUUGAAUUUAAAGCUAGAUGCAGUAGGGGGACUGAACACAACUUCCUUACGAGAACAAUCAAUACUAGCAUGAUUAGUAGCUAGCCAAUCCAUACCUAAAAUUACAUCAAAGUCACACAUAUCUAAUACCAACAAGGUUACGUCCAGCACACGACCAGCUAUCUCAAUUUCACAUGCUUUAAUCUUUUCCUUAGACAACAUAAUUUCUCCAGACGGUGUAGACACUGACAAAACAUAGUCUAAGGGUUCCAUCUAAGCAUGCAUGCAUCACAAAAAGCGAUGAAAUAAAUGAAUGAGAAGAUCCCGAGUCAAACAAGGUCAAGGCAAAAUGCCCUAACACUGGUAAUGUACCUGUCACUAUUGUGCCGACCUUCUCUGCCUCUGAUCUAUUAGUGGCAAAGAUUGUACCACGCUGUGGAGGUCUCUCUCCCUGACUGCUCGAUCCAGCCCAGUAGAUCUCAAGGGACACCUAUCAGCCAUGUGUCCCUCUUGCUUGCACUUAUAACAGACUCUCGUUCCAUCAAACAACGACCCAGGUGGCGUUUCCCACAUGUAUUACAUACUGGCCUCUCUCGAGUAGUGUCUCCUGCACCGCCAGAACUCUGCUGGAAACUGCGAAAAGGAUCGCCUGGUCUCAAGUUCCUCUGAGGAACUCCUACAGUUCUCUACUCUACUUUUCUCUUUUGACCCGACGACGAUCCCUUAUCAAAGCUCCUUGGCUGUAUUUCAUCAUUCCCAAUGCUCAUAUCCACUGUCAGACGCAGUGCUUCAGCUUGGGUAGUGGGCUUUAGUGCUCGCACAAAGCCCCUAAUUUCAUCUCUCAAUCCCUUGACGAACCUAUCAGCUCUAGCCUGCUCAUUACUAACAAGCUCAGGGGCAAAACGUGACAGCAUAUCAAACUCCUGGUCGUACUCCUCGACUGUCAUAUAUCCUUGCUUCAACUCCAAGAAUUCCUGGCUUUUGGCGUCUCUAAGGUUAGCCGAGAAAAACUUGGUAUAGAACAGUCCUUAAACUGAUCCCAGGUAAUUUGCCUCAAUCUCCACCUAGCAUGCGCAUUGUAGUCCCCACCAGAUAAUGCCUCUGUCCCUCAGUAGAAAACAGCACACUGAACUCUGUGCUCCUCGGGACAUCUCAUGUAAUUAAAUAUGGUUUCCACAGAGGACAACCACAUUUCAGCUUUAGUAGGAUCCUCCAGUGACCCAUCAAACGUCUGAGGGUCAUACUUCUGAAAGUCCCUCAAAUGUUUCGCCUCAGCAGAAAGUUGGUUCGGUAAUCCUUGUGCACGAGGGGCUGCAGUGCAGGGGGAACUACAGGUGCAGUGGAACCGCAGGUUCCUGCUGGUUUUGAGCUAUAGCUGUCAUAAGUUUUGUAAACCUCUGCUCCAUGUGAGCAGACAGUGCAUCAAACUCAACGUGAGUCACGGGUGCAGCAGGAAUUCGCUGUUCAGCUUGACCCUCAGUAGGCUGAUUACGACCUGCGCCUCUACCUCGACCUCCUACUCCUCUACCUCGCCUCUACGACCUCCUCUACGUACACCCUCCUUGGCGGCAUAAUUCCUAUUAUCCACCAACAACACUCUUUAACAAAAUCUUAAUCAUAAGCAUAAGCAAGUCUUUAUCGUCAUGCAAUCUAGUUUAAUUUAGGCAAGGUCAUGCAAAUAAACCAUACAUAUAAGCAUCAAGCAUACCUGACGAGAGACGAAGGGUCGCGUUAGCCAUAGGAACACAAAAACAUAGACUUACAUCGUAAGUCAGUCUACAGAACCUAAAACUUAGGCUCUGAUACCAACUGUAACGACCAACUUUCUAUGUAAGUCGAGGUCGUUAUUAUUUUUUUUACACCUCACAAGAACCCAUAAGUGGAAGCAAAAACACGUUUCCUAUAGCAUCACGCUUCCUUCCUGCCCCUCGCCUGUUUGGCGCCUUUAUUACCUUUGCCUGAAAAUUAAACAUAAGAAGGGUUAGUAUUUAAAUACUCAGUAAGAGACCCUCUACUGGUCUCGUCAGGGGAAAAUAAAUUGUUAAAGUUCUAUUGGGACACCCUGUACAGUCGCAGUCUUGUGAUCCCGUAGGAUACACAUCUCAGUCUAACGCCUCGAGGGACGUACAUAUCAGUCUAACGCCCCGAGGGACGUACAUAUCAGUCUAGUGUUCUGCAGAAACACAUAUCAGUCAAAUGCUCCCGAAGGUGCACAAUAAAUUGGUGAUCCCGUGGGACACCUACAAGGUAAACAUCCCAAUACAAUCUAAAAAUUUUCCCCUCAUUCCAUUCAACCCAUCUUUCAGUUACUUCAAGUCACAAAGUUCUUUCUUUCAACAUCCUAACAGUCAACUUAUUUUACUACAGUCAUAUGUCUGUCAAUAAUAUGCUAAUACAUCAGUCAAUCCACUAUACAGUCAAUGCACCCCUCAGUUCACCAGCACACAGUCAUACUUUAGCGUAAUCAUACACCCAAUCUAAACGAGAAUCUCAUACAAACACAAUCUACAAUCUCCGUCCUGUCCAUAUACACACAUUUAUAUAUAGAUUCCAUGACAAUCACGACAUACAUUCGACGUCAAGUCUACUUCAAUUCAUAUACAUUCAUAUAUAUUUUCAGUCAACCCACAGUAUACAUUCAACACACAUACAGUUCACAAUCACAGUUCACAAUCACAAUUGAGUCCAGUAGAAAAUCCCUUACCUCGAUUUUAUGUAAAAUUUCUUGGUCGAACUAAUUCCAACAAACAAACCCCAAAGAGUAAAGAAUCGAAUUCCAACAAAGCUUAAGGCGUAACUCAAGGACAGUAACUCCAAAUCACCGAUGUCGCCUUCAAGAACAAACAUCAAUUCAACCAAUUAAACAAACAUCACAUCUUAAUGUAUUUACAAAUGUAAAACCUUAUUACCCAACAAUCUCAUCCUUACCAAUAACUUAUAACAAGACUUUGACAAUCAACGUUAAAAUAGAAGUUGCCGCAGCAGGAUCUACACAAAAGAAAUCGUGCAAACAAAUCUGCACGCGAAUCGGUCCACAAUUCGUAAAUGGACAGCGAGUAUCGACGAAGACAGAAUGGUUCGGACGUUCAACAGCAGUUACGCGCGGACGGGAGUAGCCCGGCAACGUAGCCGAACUCGUACGAUGCGGCGUGACCUGCGUCGGCGAGGCUGUUCGUGACUGAGGCGUGCGAUUUGCCUCGCGAACGGAGAUAGAGACGACGGCUGGGUUGGCUUCGACGGAGACAGGUGUUGCGCGGCAAAACUGGGCAGAGGCGGAAGAGCAACGGCAGUAACAGGUGGAUGGUCGUGGCAGUUUCGAUCCGAAGGAGAAAGAAAACGACCGGAAAGAAAAUAAGGGCGGCGGUUCCCGGGCUGCGACGCAGAUCUGGAUCAGACAGUUACGCGGCGGCUGCUGCAAGGCUGCUUCGCGAACGGAGAUGGAGAACGGAGUGGAGAAGAUGGAUAGGGGUCGCGGUCGCACGGGGAAGAAGAAGGGAGAAAAGAAAAGAAAAAGAAAAGAAGAAAAGAAGAGAAAAAAAUAAAGAAAUUUUUUAAUAUUAAAAUAAAAAUAAUAUAUAUAUAUAUAUAUAUAUAUAUAUAUAUAUAUUUACCUUUUCUUUGGGCAUUACAUAAUAUUACUUUAAUAGAAUUUAAUCCAUAUUUUCAUAGAAUAUUUAAUAAAUGAAAAUCUUAAACGUGGUUCACUUUUCUUUUUAUUUUUAAUAAUAUUAUUAAUAAUAAAAAGAGUAAAUUGGUUUAGAGGAUAUGCUACGAGCUUGUGUUAUAGAGAAUAUCAUACAUACAUAUUAACAUAUAUAUAUAUAUAUAUAUUUAGUUUUUAAAAUAAAGCAAUUCAGUUCGGUUUGAGAAUCGGUUCUUAACAUCUUAAACUGAACCGAACCGAAUUUUUAUGUGGUUUUUUUUAAAUAGAAAUCGAAUCGAACCGAACCAUAUGCAUUCGAUUUCGGUUCGAUUAGUGAUUCGAUUCAGUUUUCAACUUCAUUUUGAACACCCCUAUUACAGAUACUAGAGAAUAACAAAUAUUUUAAUGACAUAUAUUACAUAUACUCAUCAUAAUUAUUUCUCAUUCAUGUUCUUGUAAACAUAAACAACUUUCAUAUAUAAUUAAUAUUAUUUCAAACAUAAUGUAUUAUUUACUACGUAAGAUAUGAAUACUUAAAUAAAAUAAAUAAAUAAAUUGAUAUAAGAACAUUUCACUAAUAAAAUAUACAUUAUAUUAUUCAAUAUAUACUAUAAUUAUAUAAAAAUAUAUGAAAAAGAAUGCAAAAUAAAAAAUGACAAUUUUUUAAUAAAAUCAUAAAAAGCAAACUAAGGACAAUUUUUAUUAUUAAUAUUACUUUAAUAGAAUUAAUCCAUAUUUUCAUAGAAUAUUUAAUAAAUGAAAAUCUUAAACGUGGUUCACUUUUCUUUUUAUUUUUAAUAUAUUAUUAAUAAUAAAAAGAGUAAAUUGGUCAUUUUUACUCUAUAUUUGUAUAAAAUAUUAGUCAAUUUAUGAUAUUUUUGAAAAUUUUAAAAAAUUUAUUGCAAUUAAUUUUGUAACAUGGUAUACAAUUUUGAGUACACUUAGAUAAAAAUUCAAAAGAAAAAAAAUUUCACAUUAUAUAAGAUCAAGUCUAAACGGUAUAAAUUGAACCGCUGUUAAAACCGAAUAAACAAACCACACCAUUUAUGUACAAAACAAAAAACACAGUUUGUUGCUGGCUCAAAUAGUCCAAACCGAAUUUAAAUGGUUCGGCGUCUAUUUCAGCUUCAGUCUUCUGGAUUCAAGGAAAUUUUGAUCUUCCAAGUCUUCAAUAUUUCAGGAGAUGAUGAUCUCGAAGUUGAUAAAGAACUUGCACGUCUUGAGAGCUCUAUAGAAGUUUGAAUCUUCAAUUCUUCAAAGCUUCUGUACUUCAGAGCUUCAUUUCUUCCUUCAACAAAAGAUCUCUCGAAUGAAUGACAAAGGUCUCUAUUUAUAGAGAAAAUUUUGUGGACUUUAUGUGGGCUUGGACCCAUUUGCUUGUUGAGUUGUUGAGCUUGGACUUGGGCUUGGGCCCAUUUUCUUAGUGGGCUUAGGCCCCUUUAUUUGGCCUGAUUUUUUUAUCAGGGGCUUGAAUUGGGUUGGAAAACUUGACUACCCAAAUCCAAUCAAAUUAUAAUCAUCACAACUUGGGUGUGACGACGUGGUGUAAUUUCAUUGGUUGAAAUUUCUUGCUCAACAAUUACAUUUAUACUACUCCAUAAUACAUAUAUAUGUUGUUAGUCAUAUAAAAACAUUUACUGUAACGACCCAACUUUUCUAAGUAAGUCGAGGUCGUUAUUUUUUUUUUUUCAAAUAAAGACUUUGUUUAAUAUAAAACAAAACGUAAGCAAUUUAAAAAAAACAUCUUCAAGUCAGGCCUGAUUUUUAAAACAUUCAUAAAAUAAUACUAUUUACAACAAACGUUUGUAAACUAAAUUUCAAUCCAUUUUAAACCUCUCAAGAACCCAUAAGCAGAAGCAAAAACACGUUUCCUAUGGCAUCACGUUUCCUUCCUGCCCCUCGCCUGUUUGCCGCCUUUAUUACCUUUGCCUGAAAAUUAAACAUAAGAAGGGUGAGUAUUUUAAAUACUCAGUAAGAGACCCUCUACUCGUCUCGUCAGGGGAAAAUAAAUUGUUAAGUUCUAUUGGGUCAUCCUGUACAGUCGCAGUCUUGUGAUCCCGUAGGAUACACAUCUCAGUCUAACGCCCCAAGGACGUACAUAUCAGUCUAACGCCCCGAGGGACGUACAUCUCAGUCUAACGCCCGAGGGACGUACAUAUCAGUCUAACGCCCGAGGGACGUACAUAUCAGUCUAGUGUUCUGCAGAAACACAUAUCAGUCAAAUGCUCCGAAGGUGCACAAUAAAUUGGUGAUCCCGUGGGACACCUACAAGGUAAACAUCCCAAUACAAUCUAACAAUUUAUCCCUUCAUUCCAUUCAACCCAUCUUUCAAUUACUUCAAGUCACAAAGUUCUUUCUUUCAACAUCCUAACAGUCAACUUAUUUUACUACAGUCAUAUGUCUGUCAAUAAUAUGCUAAUACAUCAGUCAAUCCACUAUACAGUCAAUGCACCCCUCAGUUUCCAGCACACAGUCAUACUUUAGCGUAAUCAUACACCCAAUCUAAACGAGAAUCACAAGUUCAUAUCUACAUCUCAUACCAACACAAUCUAAAAUCUUCGUCCUGUCCACAUACACACACUUAUAUAUAUGUUCCAUGACAAUCACGAUAUACAUUCGACGUUAAGUCUACUUCAAUUCAUAUGCAUUCAUAUAUAUUUUCAGUCAAACCACAGUAUACAUUCAACACACAUACAGUUCACAAUCACAAUUGAGUCCAGUAGAAAAUCCCUUACCUGGAUCUUUAUGUAAAAUUCCUUAGUCGAACUAACUUCAACAAACAAACCCCAAGAGUAAAGAAUCGAACUCCAACAAAGCUUAAGGCGUAACUCAAGGACACUAACUCCAAAUCACCGAUGUCGCCUUCAAGAACAAAGAUCAAUUCAACCAAUUAAACAACAUCACAUCUUAAUGUAUUUACAAAUGUAAGACCUUAUUACCGAACAAUCUCAUCCUUACCAAUAUCUUGUAACAAGACUUUGACAAUCGACGUUAAAUAGAAGUUGCCGCAGGAUCUACACAAAAGACAUCGUGCAAAACACUUUUGCACGCGAACUGGUCCGCGACGGUGGGUAUCGACGAAGGCAGAACGGUUCGGACGUUCAACAGCAGUUACGCGCGGAUGGGAGUAGCCCGGCAACGUAGCCGAAUUCGUGCGAUACGGCGUGACCUGCGUCGGCGAGGCUGUUCGUGACUGAGGCGUGCGACUUGCCUCGCGGACGGAGAUAGAGACGGCGGGAGACGGUUGCAGAACCGUGGCUUCGACAGAGACAGAACCGGCUGAGACGGUUGGGCAGCGGCGGAAGAGCAACGGCGCCGCAGAUCUGGACUGGCAGCGGCGUGGUCUUGCUUCGCGGCAGGGCUGCGGACGGAAGAAGAAAAUGGAAGGAAAGGAUCGGCGGCUGGCUGCAGUUGGCUGCGGCGCGGACGGGAAGAAGAAGAUAGAGGUGGUGAUUGCGGCUGGGCUGCGGCUGGGCACGAACGGAAGGAGAAGAGGACGGUUAGGGCGGUUGCUGCACGAACGGAGAGAAGGGGAAGGAGGUCGCGGCGCACGGGAGGAAGAAGAAAAGGGAAAAAAAGAAAUUUUCAUUUUCUUUUUCUUUUUAUUUAAAAAAUAUAUAAAAUAAUUAUAAUAAAAAAUAUAUAAAUAUAUAUAUAUAUAUAUAUAUAUAUAUUAUAUAUUAAAUUUUCAUUUUCUUUUCUUUUAUUUAAUAAAAUGUAGAAUAAAUAUAAUAAUAAAAAUAUAAUUAAAUACAUAUAUAUUUAAUUAUAUUAAUACAUUUUCAAAUCUUCUUUCUCCCCUUCAACAUAUUUAAAAAAAAAAUCUUGAACAAAUCGAAAUAAUUCUCUCAAAAUAAUUUACCUUCAAGUUUGGGGCGUUACAUUCUUCCCUCCUUAAGAAACUUUCGUCCUCGAAAGUUCUAAUCCUGAAAUAACUCUGGAUAACGAGUCCUCAUCUCUUCCUCUCGCUCCCAUGUCGCCUCUUUAAUUCGAUGAUUCCGCCACAAAACCUUUACUAAUGGAAUGCUUCUAUUACAAAGCAUCUUUACCUCUCUAGCCAGAAUCUCCACAGGUUGUUCUACAUAGCUCAAAUGAUCAUCAAUCUCCAAGGGUUCAUAGUCCACUACAUGAGAUGUAUCGGCCACAUACUUCCUCAACAUCGAAACAUGGAAAACAUUAUGAACUGCAGAGAGUGAUGGUGGUAAUGCCAAGCGAUACGCCACAACACCAACCCUCUCUAAGAUCUCAAAUGGUCCAACAAAACGAGGACUUAACUUCCCUUUCUUCUCAAAAAUCAUAACACCCUUCAUAGGUGCUACCUUCAAGAAUACCUUUUCUCCCACAUCGAACUUAAGGUCUUUUCGCCGUACAUCUGCAUAACUCUUCUGUCUACUCUGCGCUGUUUGCAUACGUGCUCUAAUCUUUUGAAUAGCCUCAUUAGUAGACCGAACUAAUUCAGGUCCCAUCAACCUAUGUUCACCAACCUCACUCCAACAAACAGGGGUUCUACAACAUUUGCCAUACAAAGCCUCAAAUGGUGCCAUACCGAUGGUAGCCUUGAAACUGUUGUUAUAAGCAAACUCCAUCAAAUGUAGAUGAGAGUCCCAACUACCUGGAAACUCUAUAACACAAGCUCGUAGCAUAUCCUCUAAAACUUGGUUCAAACGUUCAGUUUGACCAUCAGUCUGUGGAUGAAAGGCUGUACUAAAAUCCAAUCUCGUACCCAUAGCAGUCUGAAGUCCCUUCCAAAACUUGGAAGUAAACCGUGCACCCUAUCAGAAACAAUCGAUACAGGCACUCCAUGCAGUCUCACAAUCUCAGUUAAAUACAACUCUGCCCACUUACUAGCAGUAUAAGUGGAUUUUCCUGGUACAAAAUGUGUCGAUUUCGUAAGCCUGUCUAUGACAACCAAAAUCACUGUGAAACCCUUCAGGGUCUUAGGCAGCCCUGAAAUAAAAUCCAUCAACACAUUCUCUCCCACUUCCACUCUUGCACACUUAAGGGUUGUAACAAACCUGCUGGUUUCUGUCUAGGUGCCUUAACUUGCUGACAUACUAGACACUUACUAACAAAUUCCGCCACUUCCCUUUUCAUAUUCCGCCACCAAUAAAAUCGUUUUAGAUCCUGAUACAUUUUUGUGCUACUUGGAUGCAUGAGAAAUGGGAAACUAUGAGUCUCAACCAAUAACCUUGUCUUAAUUGCAUUUUCUGUUGGCUCACAUAAUUCUCUCUCAAACAUAAGUUCAUCAUCAAAGGAUAUGGAAAACUCCUUAACUUGCCCUACUUCUACUAGGCAAUGCUUCUCAAUCAAAUAAGGAUCAAUGAAUUGAACCACAAGAAUUCUUUGUCUCAAGAUCGGAUGUACUGACAACUGAGCUAACUUUGAGGUGACUUCCCCCACUAAAACUACAAUCUCAGCUCUCUCGUGGUUUUUGUCUAAUGAAACCUGUCUGGUAAUAAGUGCUGUCAAAAUGUGAUACUUUUCUACGAAGAGCACCAACUUCCACAUUCGCCUUACCUAGAUGGUACAAAAUCUCACAAUCAUAGUCAUUUACUAACUGAAACCAUCUUUGCUAUCUCAUACUCAACUUCUUUUGAGUGAAAAAGUAUUUUAUACUCUUUUGGUUAGAAAAUAUCUAUAUCUUUUCAUCAUACAUAUAGUGUCUUCAAAUCAUUAAUGUAAAAACCACAACUGUCAAUUCCAUAUCAUAAGUUGGACAAUUUUCCUCAUGACUCUUCAACUGACGAGGAGUACAAGCAACUACUUUAACUUGUUGAAUCAUAAUACCUUUUAAACUUUCCUAAAAGCAUCACUAUAAAUUACGAAACUUUCUGAACCAUCAUGUACGGUAAGCACGAGAGUUGUACAAGCUUCUGCUUAAGAUCCUAAACACUAUCCUCAUAGGCUUUGUCCCAAACAAACAGAGUCCCUUUUCUUAGUUAACUGAGUCAAAGGAGUAGCUAUACGAGAAAAUUCUUAUACAAACCGUUAGUAAUAACCUGCUGAACCCAAAAAGACUACGAACCUCACUGACUAUGAAAGGUUGAGGCCAACUGGUAACGACUUCAAUCUUUUAUGAGAUCCACAUAAAUGUCAUCUCUAGAUACCACAUGGCUUGGAAAGAUACUUGGCCUCAUCCGAAACUCACAUUUUGAAAACUUUGCAUACAAUUUGUUGACUCGAAGAGCCUCUAAAACCAUGUUAAAUGCUCCUCAUGCGCGCUGUCUCUAUUUUGGAAUAAAUUAAGAUAUCGUCAAUAGAUACAAUCACGAAAGUGUCUAAGAGAUCGUUAAACACUUUGUUCAUCAAGUCGUAAACAUUGUUUGAGCAUUUGCCAACUCAAAAGACAUCAUAAUGAACUCAUGAUGUCCAUAUCACGAACGAAAAUCUGCCAUAGGAAUGUCACUGUUCUCUAAUCCUCAACAAGCCAUAACCUGAAUGUAAUUCAAUCUUAAAGAACACGGACUUAUUGCAGUUGAUCAAACAAAUCCUCAUUCAUUGGUAAAAAAUAUUUAUUCUUAACUGACACCUUAUUCAACUUUCUACAAUCAAAACAUAAGUGCAUCGACCAUCUUUCUUCUUAAUAAACAAAAAUUGGUGCACCCCAAGAUAACAUACUUCGUCGAAUGUAGUCCUUGUCAAACAUUUCUUUCAAUUGCACCUUCAAAUCUUUCAACUCUGUUGGGGCCAUUUUGUAUGAAGCUUUAGAUAUAGGAACGAGUCUAACUCUAUCUCAAUAGCAAGACCAAUUUCUGUUUAGCGCGGUAAUCUUAGAAACUCUUCUAGAAAAAUAUCAUAAUACUUUUUCACCACUGAUUCAAAUAACAAAGAAACAUCGACUUCUCUGGUGUCUACCACACUAGUCAAAUACAACAGGUACCCUGGUCAAGCAACUUACUAACCUUCAUAGCUGGGAUAACUUUUAGCGAAACGAUAAUUCCAACCUCUUUGUACUUGAAACUAGCCCAUGGUUAAACUACAUUCCAAUUUUCAAACUCCAAACUAGUAACUUUUCAUUCACGAGAAACUCAAAAUUCUUUCUUAAAGUCACAUCAAGACAACCAUGCUCAUCUUCCUUGUUUCUUUUCCAAUACCUCCAUUCUAAAACUAUUUAAUGUGUUUCGUAUAAACUUGACCGUGUAUUUAGUCCUCGUUAAAACCACCUACAUAACUUAUUUUUCUUAGAUUUCCAAUCACAAAACAGACAAUUUCGCUAACAACGUCUUACUUUUCUACUACUCGACAACUCCUUUGAACACCUCUACAUGGCAACAUUUUUCCUAAAUUUCACCAUUAAAUCCUUCACCAUUAAAUCAUAACAUUCAUGUAAUUCUAGUUUAACUUAGGCAAGGUCAUAUACAUAAACCAUACAUAUAAGCAUAAAGCAUACCUGACGAGAGACGAAGGGUCGCGUUAGCCAUAGGGACACAAAAACAUAGACUUACAUCGUAAGUCAGUCUACAGAACCUAAAACUUAGGCUCUGAUACCAACUGUAACGACCCAACUUUUCUAAGUAAGUCUUAUUUUUUUUUUUCAAAUAAAAGCUUUGUUUAAUAUAAAACAAAACGUAAGCAAUUUAAAAAAAACAUCUUCAAGUCAGGCCUGAUUUUUAAACAUUCAAGAAAACAUAAAAUAAUACUAUUUACAACAAACGUUUGUAAACUAAAUUUCAAUCCAUUUUAAACCUCACAAGAACCCAUAAGCGGAAGCAAAAACACGUUUCCUAUGGCAUCACGUUUCCUUCCUGCCCCUCGCCUGUUUGCCGCCUUUAUUACCUUUGCCUGAAAAUUAAACAUAAGAAGGGUGAGUAUUUUAAAUACUCAGUAAGAGACCCUCUACUGGUCUCGUCAGGGGAAAAUAAAUUGUUAAAGUUCUAUUGGGACACCCUGUACAGUCGAAGUCUUGUGAUCCCUUAGGAUACACAUCUCAGUCUAACGCCCCGAGGGACGUACAUAUCAGUCUAACGCCCCGAGGGACGUACAUAUCAGUCUAACGCCCCGAGGGACGUACAUAUCAGUCUAGUGUUCUGCAGAAACACAUAUCAGUCAAAUGCUCCCGAAGGUGCACAAUAAAUUGGUGAUCCCGUGGGACACCUACAAGGUAAACAUCCC
RNAcentral lists this long non-coding RNA (30187 nucleotides) under Cucumis sativus (cucumber). Its description in RNAcentral is "long non-coding RNA (CSAT_LNC002573)". The record is from RNAcentral. Lineage: Eukaryota; Viridiplantae; Streptophyta; Magnoliopsida; Cucurbitales; Cucurbitaceae.